AGGGAGACUAGUGAACAGGGAGUUAGGCAGGUUAGGAGGUGUCUGUCCAGGGAGACUAGUGAACAGGGAGUUAGGCAGGUUAGGAGGUGUCUGUCCAGGGAGACUAGUGAACAGGGAGUUAGGCAGGUUAGGAGGUGUCUGUCCAGGGAGACUAGUGAACAGGGAGUUAGGCAGGGUAGGAGGUGUCUGUCCAGGGAGACUAGUGAACAGGGAGUUAGGCAGGUUAGGAGGUGUCUGUCCAGGGAGACUAGUGAGCAGGGAGUUAGGCAGGUUAGGAGGUGUCUGUCCAGGGAGACUAGUGAACAGGGAGUUAGGCAGGUUAGGAGGUGUCUGUCCAGGGAGACUAGUGAGCAGGGAGUUAGGCAGGUUAGGAGGUGUCUGUCCAGGGAGACUAGUGAACAGGGAGUUAGGCAGGUUAGGAGGUGUCUGUCCAGGGAGACUAGUGAACAGGGAGUUAGGCGGGUUAGGAGGUGUCUGUCCAGGGAGACUAUCACUGGUGUUUGCCAAGUCCUUUUCAAGAGAGGCAGGAGCCUUUUGAAGCUGCAGAGAUUAGAGGCUUUUCUGAACACCUGGGGAGUCCUCUUAGCACAGCUCAGCCUAAUCCAGCCCGGUUCCUAUUGGAACACAGUAAUGGACUCAGCCCUCAGCAACGCUAACCCAUUAGCUACCUCCUAUUGUCUCUGGGAUCUCGAAUGAGGGACGCUUCUAAUUCAAUGAAUCUGCAUGUCAUUCUAUCAGACAGCAGUCCCGAGUCUCAAGGAGAGAGGGAGAGAGGGAGAGAUGGAGAGAGGGAGAGAGGGAGAGAAGGAGAGAAGGAGAGAAGGAGAGAGGGAGAGAUGGAGAGAAGGAGAGAAGGAGA
Molecule: long non-coding RNA, 859 nt
Organism: Oncorhynchus keta (chum salmon)
Lineage: Eukaryota; Metazoa; Chordata; Actinopteri; Salmoniformes; Salmonidae
Exons: 3
Source: RefSeq, a predicted model, not a curated record